GCGGGGCCGCAUUAAUGCUGCUUUAUUGUCACUCCAACCAACAACAACCAAAGAGCAACACCACCACCACCACCACCGCCAACAGGCAAACUCCCAGCCCAGCAGUGCCACCCGGGGGAGGAGGAGGAGGAGCGGGUGUUGCGUGUGUGUGUUGUGUUGCGUUGUGUGUGCGUGUGCCUGUUGUCAUGCCGGUGGUCACUCGCUCGGUUCGGCUGGUUCGGUGGUUGGAGGUCGGUCGGUUGUUGCCGCCGCCUGUUGCGAGCGGGGCCGCGUUAACGCUGUUCUAUUGUCACUCCAACCAACAACAACCAAAGAGCAACACCACCACCACCGCCAACAGGCGAACUCCCAGCCCGGCAGUGCCACCCAGGGGAGGAGGAGGAGGAGGAGCAGUGGGUGUUGUGUGUGUGUUGUGUGUUGUGUUGUGUGUGUGUGUGCCUGUUGUCAUGCCGCUGGUCACUCACUUGGUUCGGCUGGUUCCGUGGUUGGCGGUGGUUGGAGGUCAGUCGGUUGUUGCGAGUGGGGCCGUGUUAACACUGGUUUAUUGUCACUCCAACCAACAACACCACCAACACUACCACCACCACCACCACCAACAGGCGAACUCCCAGCCCGGCAGUGUCACCCAGGGGAGGAGGAGGAGGAGGAGCGGGUGUUGUGUGUUGUGUUGUGUUGUGUUGUGUUGUGUGUGCGUGCGCCUGUUGUCAUGCCGGUGGUCACUCACUCAGUUCAUCUGGUUCGGUGGUUGGCGGUGGUUGGAGGUCAGUCGGUUGUUGCGAGCGGGGCCGCAUUAACGCUGCUUUAUUGUCACUCCAACACCACCACCACCACCACCGCCAACAGGCGAACUCCCAGCCCGGCGGUGCCACCGGGGGGAGGAGGAGGAGGAGGAGCGGGUGUUGUGUGUGUGUUGUGUUGUGUUGUGCGUUGUGUUGUGUUGUGUGUGCAUGUGCCUGUUGUCAUGCCAGUGGUCACUUGCUUGGUUUGGCUG
Molecule: long non-coding RNA, 991 nt
Filed under: Numida meleagris (helmeted guineafowl)
Lineage: Eukaryota; Metazoa; Chordata; Aves; Galliformes; Numididae
Description: lncRNA (ENSNMEG00000002837.1)
Source: RNAcentral